RNAcentral lists this long non-coding RNA (1351 nucleotides) under Anas zonorhyncha (Eastern spot-billed duck). RNAcentral describes it as "lncRNA (ENSAZOG00000018973.1)". Lineage: Eukaryota; Metazoa; Chordata; Aves; Anseriformes; Anatidae. The record is from RNAcentral.
CUAUUACUAAUUUAUUUGUCUUUUUAUGGUUCAGUUAAAGGAAUAUCUUAGGGAGUACAGCACAUGUCAGUGUUGUCAAAUGUUACAUGGUAGCUGUCAGAAUUUUGACUGAUGUACAAGGACUACCUGCUCAUGUUUGCCCUUCCUUUCUGUUGAGUGCACACAGGUAAGACAGCUUGUUGGUAAUUUUUAUUUAAUGCUUUCAGUAUCUGCAGCUGCUCUUUUAUUGAAAGUUCUGACAAGAAGAGAUUCCACUCACUGAGAUUUCCAAGAUUUCCACUGCAAGGAUUUCAUCACUUAAACAAGGUUUUCCUCUGGGAUUAGAACACUCUUCACAUUCUUUUUCUGAUGCCUUGUAAUCUCAGAGAUCUUCCCAUUUUGUAUUUUCAUCUGAGUAUCUGGUUCCACUCUUCAGUUAGCAAAGGCCAGUCGAACAGAGUGCAGAUGGGCAGCAGUCAUGAAUCAUAGGAGCCCUGUAGUUUCUAUGAACUCAGAUGUUUUCAGGAUAUCAGCUGUGAAAAUCAUGCAUUCACAAGAAUUGAAGCUGUCUGGCAAUCCCUGGAGGUAAGCAAGUCUACAUUUUCAAGCAUGAGUAUGAACAGUGAUGAAAAAUGUGGGCAUUUGUGUACCAAGCAAAUGCAACUGCUGAAAAAUUUAUCCCAUCUCCAGGUUGGCUCUCAUAACAAUGUAGUAUGAAAAUAUCACUGGAAGUAUUCAUAAUGAAUAUUAAUAAAAAAAUAAAUCAAACUCCUGAAGAUUUAGAAUAUUGUCAGAAUUGGAAUCCAUACAAGUAGAAAAGACCAGCUUUUAUCCAAAGUUAUUGCUUUCAGUGCAGAAUGGAAUUUCUUGAUGCUAGUUCCAUAACUUCAAUUUACUCUUAAUUUAUUAAUAGUUAUUUAACAGUCUGAGUUUUCUUCCUGCAGGUGUAAAAAGCAAAGUAUUGGUAUUACAAUGUCCAGAACAUAACUUGGCUGCGGAGUCCACCAUUCCUUUCAUAAACAGUGUUGGCUUUCAUUUCUUAAAUCUGAGUUAAGGCCAUCAUUUCAAUCUUUCAUCAUGGCCAGUAGUACCUUAUCUUGAUCUUGGUUCCACAAAAGUGGAAGCCACUAACAAAAGUGAAACUACUUAUAUUUCACUGAAUGAAACACAGCAUAAGGAUAUGUUUAAAGUUAAGCACAAAGUUGAAUGUAUUUUGGGAAGAAAUGAAUUUACAUACAUGCUUAAGUGCUUUGCUGAAAUAAGGCCAACAUAGUAAAUAUAUGUGAAGGUAACAGAAUAUAGGAGAAAAUCCCAGCCAUCCUGAAGCUGAAGCAACAUUCCUAAAGGGAGCAUAACUGUACUGUAGAACUCA